GCACUGCUGACCAGUCCCAAAUAGGACGGAACAGCUGUCUAGUGC
RNAcentral lists this non-coding RNA (45 nucleotides) under Echinostoma caproni. Lineage: Eukaryota; Metazoa; Platyhelminthes; Trematoda; Plagiorchiida; Echinostomatidae. The record is from RNAcentral.